UCGAAUUUUGGUUCUCGCUGA
Molecule: non-coding RNA, 21 nt
Filed under: Caenorhabditis elegans
Lineage: Eukaryota; Metazoa; Nematoda; Chromadorea; Rhabditida; Rhabditidae
Source: RNAcentral